UGUUAAGAGAUUACCUCUGUCGUUACCUGCUUUUUGCAGAUAUGGGAAUGUAAUUGAUGA
This 60-nucleotide non-coding RNA is filed under the name unclassified sequences. The record is from Rfam.